CACCAGAAGUGACUUGCAAUUUCUCAAGUCACUCCUGACAUGAAAAAUUAUUAUUAUUAUUAUUAUUAUUAUUAUUAUUAUUAUUAUUAUUAUUAUUAUUAUGUUGUUGUUGUAUGACACAGCAAACAAGAUAGAUAUGCUGGAUUUCGUAUCACAAAAUCACAAGUCGAACACUUCCCAAGUGUCUAGGACUGUGUGAUGUAUUUUCGGAUGAUACGUGCAGAUCCCAGUAGGGUGGCCUUUUGCAGUUGGCAGAUCGUAAUUUUGUCAAUGUCUAUUGUUUCCAAAUGCCGGCUGAGAUCUUUUGGCAUGGCACCCAGUGUGCCCAUCACCACCGGGACCACCUGCACUGGUUUCUGCCAGAGUCUUUGCAGUUCAAGUUGGAGGUCCUGAUAGCGGCUGAGUUUUUCCUAUUGUUUUUCGUCAAUGCGACUGUCACCUAGAAUGGCAACAUCAAUGAUCCAAACCUUUUUCUUUUCCACAACUGUGAUGUCUGGUGUGUUGUGUUCCAGAACUUUGUCAAUCUGGAUUCGGAAGUCCCACAGUAUCUUUGCUUGCUCAUUUUCCAAUACUUUUGCAGGUUUGUGAUCCCACCAGUUCUUUACUGUUGGCAGGUGGUACUUGAGGCAUAAGUUCCAAUGAAUCAUUUGGGCCACAUAGUUGUGCCUCUGUUUGUAGUCUAUCUGUGCGAUUUUCUUACAGCAGCUGAGUUUUUCCUGUUUUUUUCGUCAAUGCGACUGUCACCUGGGAUGGCGACAUCAAUGAUCCAAACCUUUUUCUUUUCCACAACUGUGAUGUCUGGUAUGUUGUGUUCCAGAAUUUUGUCAGUCUGGAUUCGGAAAUCCCACAGUAUCUUUGUGUGCUCAUUUUCCAAUACUUUUGCAGGUUUGCGAUCCCACCAGUUCUUUCCUGCUGGGAGGUGGUUCUUGAGGCAUAAGUUCCAAUGGAUCAUUUGGGCCACAUAGUUGUGCCUCUGUUUGUAGUCUGUCUGUGCAAUUUUCUUACAGCAGCUGAGGAUAUGAUCCAUGGUUUCGUCGGUUUCCUUGCAGAGUCUGCAUUUUGGGUCAUCAGCUGAUUUUUCAAUCUUGGCCUUAAUUGCCUUUGUUCUGAUGUCUUGCUCCUGGGCUGCAAGGAUCAGGCCUUCUUUCUCCUUCUUCGGGGUCCCAUUCAUGACCCAGAGCCAGGUCUUCUCCUUAUCAGCUUUUCCUUCAAUUUUGUCAAGGAACUUUCCAUGCAAUGUUUUGUUGUGCCAGCUGUCAGCUCUAGUUUGUAGUGCGGUUUUCUUGUACUGGUUUUUUGUCUGCUGUGCUUUGAGGAGUUUCUGAUUUUUUACUUAUUAUUAUUAUUUCUGAUAUUUCUACCCCGCCCUUCUCCCCGAGGGGACUCAGGGCAGUCCUCUACCACAUUUUUACAUAGCUCCAUUUUCUCAUUUUUAGGAAAGCUGAAAUAAAUUGAUGGUCUUCUAGACUCGGGUCGAGAUGAGCAGAAUAUAUUCAGAUUUCGCCCCAGUACUCAGCCUAGUACACUGGAAAGAAGCACCUUUUCAUUGUCUUGCAUGUCAGCACAUUUCCCCAAUUUCCCCAACAACCAGACAACACCAAGAUAAUCUGAGAAUAGAGAUUGUUUUCCUUGCAUAUGGAAAUCCAGCAUGAUGGGAGGAAAACAAGGCAAAGUAGAAGACAAACCUGGAUGUGAUUCAUGUGAUGCAUUGAAAUUCAAGCCCCAUAACCAUAGACAUUUUCAGACAGACAUCGCUAAAUGCAUUCUGAUAUACUUAACAUGAUAGCUACAACUCCACAACAGAUUCAUGUUUAUAGCUGCUUAUUGUACCUCCAUUUUCUCAGCCAGCAUUCAUCAUGGGAAGCUCAGUGUUCAUGGAGCAACGCUAUAAUUUCAGUUCCACAUAAAAUGAGAUUCCACUUUCAUGUGAUGAAGUGCAAAUUAAAUAUAGGUUUAGAAGCCGGCAUACGAGUACAUAUGGAGUAGUGCUCUCUGUGUUAUCCUUGCAGUAGAACAAGGAGAAUUUAAUGUAGAGUUUUUUCCCCUUUUUUUGUAGUGUGCAUGUCUUAGUAAAAUUCUAAUCAAUAACGCUGUCAAGAACAGACUCAGAACAGAAUCAAUUUCCAGGCUCUGUUUUUUUGGUGUUUUUCAAAAAGAGGGAUACAUUAUUAGUUCAGUAACUAUGAAACAGAAAGAGAUGAAAGAGUGUCGGGUUUUAUAUUAAAAACGAGCACAUCUGCUCAGUUACAUAAUGAUAAUAAACUAUUCCUUGUAGUCAUGGCAAUGGAAAAGUAAUAGAUGCAGAGAAAGAUAUUUUUACAGAGCUCGAUUUUUAAAAGGAGAAGAGAAUGGAAAAGCCCCAAAAUCAAAAUUAUCUUUAUGAGAGAUUCUUUGGGUUGUGGAGUUUCAAUGCAGGGGAAGCAUUGUUUAUUUUUUGUUAACACAAACAACACACACAUUUUAGUGUAAAUUUGUACUCUCUAAAACCUGCCUUCCAUGAAUGUUGAAUAAAACAUGCAGAGAGCCUGAAUAUUCAGAUGUGAUUUGCUGAGAACUCUUUUUUUGGCAUAAAAGUGCAUUGUUGCUCAAAAUGAGUCUGCUGAAGCUUGGAGAAAUAUUAUGUUAACCAGAGUCUUGAUGUUAAAUUUUAUUUAUGUCCCAAUCCAGCAUGGAUGUGGUACUAGCUUAGCAUUGCAAUUGGUGCCAUGGUAGAUCACCCAGGAAUCCAACCAUUGAACUAAGAAAAUCAAAUUCUUCCCUAACAGGUAACACUAUGUUAGAGAUGGGAAGAUUAUUUUAAAAGUAUUGGGGAAAAUGGUCAAAAAGCAGGCUCUCCAAGUAUUGAG
This 2846-nucleotide long non-coding RNA is filed under the name Anolis carolinensis (green anole). Its description in RNAcentral is "lncRNA (ENSACAG00000041438.1)". The record is from RNAcentral. Lineage: Eukaryota; Metazoa; Chordata; Lepidosauria; Squamata; Anolidae.